Molecule: ribosomal RNA, 405 nt
Filed under: uncultured bacterium
Lineage: Bacteria
Description: partial 16S ribosomal RNA
Rfam family: Bacterial small subunit ribosomal RNA
Source: RNAcentral
GACGAACGCUGGCGGCGUGCUUAACACAUGCAAGUCGAGCGGAGCGGCGAACGGGUGAGUAACGCGUGAGUAACUGCCCCCCUCUCUGGGAUAACAGUUGGAAACGGCUGCUAAUACCGGAUAGUGGGGGUUGACUCGGGUCCUAUCAGCUUGUCGGCGGGGUAGUGGCCUACCAAGGCGACGGCGGGUAGCCGGCCUGAGAGGGCGACCGGCCACAUUGGACUGAGAUACGGCCCGAACUCCUACGGGAGGCAGGAGGGGGGGAUAUUGCACAAUGGGGGAGACCCUGGUGCAGGAACGCCGCGUGCGGGAUGACGGCCUUCGGGUUGUAAGCCGCUUUCAGCCAAGACGCGGUAGUGGCAGAAGAAGCACCGGCUAACUACGUGCCAGCAGCCGCGGUAAUUC